This 553-nucleotide ribosomal RNA is filed under the name Bacillus atrophaeus. Its description in RNAcentral is "bacterial SSU rRNA". It matches the Rfam family "Bacterial small subunit ribosomal RNA", at positions 983 to 1533 of the family's 1533-position model. The record is from RNAcentral. Lineage: Bacteria; Bacillati; Bacillota; Bacilli; Caryophanales; Bacillaceae.
GACAUCCUCUGACACCCCUAGAGAUAGGGCUUCCCCUUCGGGGGCAGAGUGACAGGUGGUGCAUGGUUGUCGUCAGCUCGUGUCGUGAGAUGUUGGGUUAAGUCCCGCAACGAGCGCAACCCUUGAUCUUAGUUGCCAGCAUUCAGUUGGGCACUCUAAGGUGACUGCCGGUGACAAACCGGAGGAAGGUGGGGAUGACGUCAAAUCAUCAUGCCCCUUAUGACCUGGGCUACACACGUGCUACAAUGGACAGAACAAAGGGCAGCGAGACCGCGAGGUUAAGCCAAUCCCACAAAUCUGUUCUCAGUUCGGAUCGCAGUCUGCAACUCGACUGCGUGAAGCUGGAAUCGCUAGUAAUCGCGGAUCAGCAUGCCGCGGUGAAUACGUUCCCGGGCCUUGUACACACCGCCCGUCACACCACGAGAGUUUGUAACACCCGAAGUCGGUGAGGUAACCUUUAUGGAGCCAGCCGCCGAAGGUGGGACAGAUGAUUGGGGUGAAGUCGUAACAAGGUAGCCGUAUCGGAAGGUGCGGCUGGAUCACCUCCUUUCUG